RNAcentral lists this ribosomal RNA (381 nucleotides) under uncultured bacterium. Its description in RNAcentral is "partial 16S ribosomal RNA". It matches the Rfam family "Bacterial small subunit ribosomal RNA", at positions 338 to 733 of the family's 1533-position model. The record is from RNAcentral.
CCUACGGGUGGCUGCAGUGAGGAAUAUUGGUCAAUGGAGGAAACUCUGACCCAGCAACGCCGCGUGAAUGAUGAAGGUCUUCGGAUUGUAAAGUUCUUUUCUACGGGAAGAAGAAAGUGACGGUACCUUAGGAAUAAGGCUCGGCUAACUACGUGCCAGCAGCCCCGGUAAAACGUAGGAGGCAAGCGUUAUCCGGAAUGACUGGGCGGGAAGGGUGCGGAGGUGGUUUGACAAGUUGGUAGCGUAAUUCCGGGGCUACAACUCGGCACUACUACCAAAACUGUCGGACUUGAGUGCAGGAGGGGCAAAUGGAAUGCCUAGUGUAGCGGUGGAAUGCGUAGAUAUUAGGCGGAACACCAGUGGCGAAGGCGAUUUGCUGGA